CCUACGGGAGGCAGCAGUGGGGAAUAUUGCACAAUGGGGGAAACCCUGAUGCAGCAACGCCGCGUGAGUGAGGAAGUAUUUCGGUAUGUAAAGCUCUAUCAGCAGGGAAUAGAAAAGAAGGUACCUGAAAGAGAAGCGACGGCUAACUCAGUGCAAGCAGCCGAGGUAAUACGGAGGGUGCGAGCGUUAACCGGAAUUACUGGGCGUAACGCGCUCGUAUGCGGUAUGUCAAGGCAAGGGGGAAAUCCCCGGGCUCAACGUGGGACCCGCCUUUGAAACUGGCAAACUGGAGUGUGUGAGGGGAUAGUGGAAUGCCAGGUGUAGGGGUGAAAUCCGUAGAUAUCUGGAGGAACAUCAGUGGCGAAGGCGACUAUCUGGCACAUAACUGACGCUGAGGAGCGAAAGCGUGGGUAGCAAACAGGAUUAGAUACCCCUGUAGUC
RNAcentral lists this ribosomal RNA (441 nucleotides) under uncultured bacterium. RNAcentral describes it as "partial 16S ribosomal RNA". It matches the Rfam family "Bacterial small subunit ribosomal RNA", at positions 338 to 795 of the family's 1533-position model. The record is from RNAcentral.